RNAcentral lists this ribosomal RNA (1057 nucleotides) under Acinetobacter nosocomialis. RNAcentral describes it as "bacterial SSU rRNA". It matches the Rfam family "Bacterial small subunit ribosomal RNA", at positions 407 to 1453 of the family's 1533-position model. Lineage: Bacteria; Pseudomonadati; Pseudomonadota; Gammaproteobacteria; Moraxellales; Moraxellaceae. The record is from RNAcentral.
GAAGAAAGGCCUUAUGGUUGUAAAGCACUUUAUGCGAGGAGGAAGACUACUUUAGAUAAUACCUAGAGAUAGUGGACGUUACUCGCAGAAUAAGCACCGGCUAACUCUGUGUCAGCAGCCGCGGUAAUACAGAGGGUGCAAGCGUUAAUCGGAUUUACUGGGCGUAAAGCGCGCGUAGGCGGCUAAUUAAGUCAAAUGUGAAAUCCCCGAGCUUAACUUGGGAAUUGCAUUCGAUACUGGUUAGCUAGAGUGUGGGAGAGGAUGGUAGAAUUCCAGGUGUAGCGGUGAAAUGCGUAGAGAUCUGGAGGAAUACCGAUGGCGAAGGCAGCCAUCUGGCCUAACACUGACGCUGAGGUGCGAAAGCAUGGGGAGCAAACAGGAUUAGAUACCCUGGUAGUCCAUGCCGUAAACGAUGUCUACUAGCCGUUGGGGCCUUUGAGGCUUUAGUGGCGCAGCUAACGCGAUAAGUAGACCGCCUGGGGAGUACGGUCGCAAGACUAAAACUCAAAUGAAUUGACGGGGGCCCGCACAAGCGGUGGAGCAUGUGGUUUAAUUCGAUGCAACGCGAAGAACCUUACCUGGCCUUGACAUAGUAAGAACUUUCCAGAGAUGGAUUGGUGCCUUCGGGAACUUACAUACAGGUGCUGCAUGGCUGUCGUCAGCUCGUGUCGUGAGAUGUUGGGUUAAGUCCCGCAACGAGCGCAACCCUUUUCCUUAUUUGCCAGCGAGUAAUGUCGGGAACUUUAAGGAUACUGCCAGUGACAAACUGGAGGAAGGCGGGGACGACGUCAAGUCAUCAUGGCCCUUACGGCCAGGGCUACACACGUGCUACAAUGGUCGGUACAAAGGGUUGCUACACAGCGAUGUGAUGCUAAUCUCAAAAAGCCGAUCGUAGUCCGGAUUGGAGUCUGCAACUCGACUCCAUGAAGUCGGAAUCGCUAGUAAUCGCGGAUCAGAAUGCCGCGGUGAAUACGUUCCCGGGCCUUGUACACACCGCCCGUCACACCAUGGGAGUUUGUUGCACCAGAAGUAGCUAGCCUAACUGCAAAGAGGGCGG